This 452-nucleotide ribosomal RNA is filed under the name uncultured bacterium. Its description in RNAcentral is "partial 16S ribosomal RNA". It matches the Rfam family "Bacterial small subunit ribosomal RNA", at positions 354 to 796 of the family's 1533-position model. The record is from RNAcentral.
GUCGAGAAUCUUCCCCAAUGGGCGAAAGCCUGAGGGAGCGACGCCGCGUGAGGGAUGAAGGCCCUUUGGGUUGUAAACCUCUGUUAGGGGGAAAGAAAAGCAGUGGAAGCAAUAUGUCCAUUGCCUGACGUUACCCCCAGAGAAAGCUCCGGCCAACUCCGUGCCAGCAGCCGCGGUAAUACGGGGGGAGCAAGCGUUGUCCGGAAUCAUUGGGCGUAAAGGGCGUGUAGGCGGCUUGGCAAGUCGAAUGUGAAAUCCCACGGCUCAACCGUGGAACUGCGUUCGAAACUGCCUUGCUUGAGUGCGGGAGAGGUGUGCGGAAUUCCUGGUGUAGCGGUGGAAUGCGUAGAUAUCAGGAAGAACACCGGUGGCGAAGGCGGCACACUGGCCCAGCACUGACGCUGAGGCGCGAAAGCGUGGGGAGCGAACGGGAUUAGAAACCCCAGUAGUCC